RNAcentral lists this ribosomal RNA (253 nucleotides) under uncultured bacterium. Its description in RNAcentral is "partial 16S ribosomal RNA". It matches the Rfam family "Bacterial small subunit ribosomal RNA", at positions 524 to 776 of the family's 1533-position model. The record is from RNAcentral.
UACGAAGGGGGCUAGCGUUGCUCGGAAUCACUGGGCGUAAAGCGCACGUAGGCGGCUCGUUUAGUCAGGGGUGAAAUCCUGGAGCUCAACUCCAGAACUGCCCUUGAUACUGGCGGGCUCGAGUCCGGGAGAGGUGAGUGGAACUGCGAGUGUAGAGGUGAAAUUCGUAGAUAUUCGCAAGAACACCAGUGGCGAAGGCGGCUCACUGGCCCGGUACUGACGCUGAGGUGCGAAAGCGUGGGGAGCAAACAGG